Long non-coding RNA from Sapajus apella (tufted capuchin), 899 nucleotides. RefSeq lists it as uncharacterized. The record is from RefSeq and is a predicted model, not a curated record. NCBI's taxonomy places the organism in Eukaryota, Metazoa, Chordata, Mammalia, Primates, Cebidae. The transcript has 2 exons.
CCUCCCCUCCACCUUUUACCAUACACCUGCGAGACGGCAGCUGGGAUUUACCUCACUCACACGCAGACCUGUUGACUGUGAGUCUGAAGGGAGCCAGUGACCUUCACUAGACUCACAAUUAAGAUACAGACUGCAACCCUUAGAUUUGACUAGAUGAAGUAAAUUCCACUUCGGCUGUAGUAGAUCAUGGUUCGUUGGCACUUAUUCUUGUGAAUGUAGUAAAGAUAACACAGAGCUCACAUUAAAUCAGUGGCAUGCUUUUGCUGUUGUUGAGGUAAUCCAAAAAGGAUUCAAUCCUUCACUUCAUUAAAAAUGAGAAACCAAUUUCAUAGUUACAGCUUAUGGAAAAGAAAGCUGACAUUUAUAAUUAUCAGAGUAACUGUUUCCACGCAAAUGCCUUUUCCAUAUUUGUUCACAAAAAGAUUCUCAGCAGAGUUGAUCUCAUCACUCAUGCAUAGAGAAUGAUGAUGAUUAUGAAAAGCAGCAGGUGUUGGGGAGGAGAAAGCAACUUACUGACACUCCCAAUGUAUUUAUUAAAGAAAGGAUCUGACAAAGAAGAAAAGUAAUCAUUUCUAAAUGGAAAAUCUGAAGUAUCCUUUGUUAACAACUACAUUUUUGAAUAGCAAGAUAGAAAACUCAGAUGAUCAGAUGGCAUAUUUCCAGCUUAAUUAACUUUGGCUUAAAAGUCAUAGAUAGAGUCUUCCCUUAGCAUCAUCCAGAUACACCGCGUGUGCCUCUCUCUGCAUUAUAUCCAUGAUUGGAAUAAGCAGUAUUCUUUAAAAUGGGCAGGGCAGAUGAUUUCACGUAUGUCUUUGUGUUCUUUUGCUUACACUCUUCUUUCUUCCAAGUGAAAAUAAUUCCUUUUUAUUAAAAGCAGAUUUAGAAAUCAAGAAGUCAUA